Long non-coding RNA from Phragmites australis (common reed), 3567 nucleotides. RefSeq lists it as uncharacterized. The transcript has 4 exons. The record is from RefSeq and is a predicted model, not a curated record. Lineage: Eukaryota; Viridiplantae; Streptophyta; Magnoliopsida; Poales; Poaceae.
ACGCCGACCUUGUUCGGCCUCACGCCGUCGGGUUGCGGAAAGCAGUUCAGCUUCAACACGCCGGGGAACAACGCCGGUCGCCGGCCACUCCUCCCCGGCUCUGCCUUGGUUUGGUUUGGCCGCGCGAGCUUGGGGGGCCAGGGGGUGGAAGUGGUGAGCGCAUCGGUGAGAGGUGCGGCCGUGCGGCUCCGGAGCAGGCUGUGGAGGUGGGCGAGGGGUGGAUGAAGGGGGCGCAUCGGAGAGGGUUGCGGUUCCGAGCAGGCGGUGGAGGUGGACGAGGAGAGUGAGGGCGACGCGAGGCAGCCGUAGGUGAGGAGUAGAGAUGCGGGUGCGAAUGAUCGGGCCCCGUCGUUCCGGUGAUGGACGGGGACGAUCCUUUACAACGAUGCAUGCUUAUGUGGGGAUCGUUGCGCAAUUUAGCCAUCCUCGCCGCCGCCGCCGUCUGGACCGUCGUCUUCUCCGGCUGCGACCUUCGUCAACCCAACCUCGACGUCAUGUAGAAGAGAGAGGGACUCAGCGGCUCCUGAGCCCGCGAGCGGAAGGGUGGUACUAGAAUUGGAGAAGCCUGGCUCUUGGUGGCGCCUGUAAUGCAAUGUGAGAGAUAAGUGCUCACUCAUUACUGCAAAGCAUUCUUAACCAUGGAUGGAAUAGCUUUGUUGCAUCAAAUGAUCUAUGUAACCUUUGCUUGUGAAUAACUGGACAUCAUGGGACCAAAUCAACUACCAGUUGGUGGUCGUGUUCUACCAAUUACCAAACUCUUGAAAUCUGAACACAGCAUACAGCACAGAGGGUUCACGUCUAUCCUGGACCAUGGCACUAUGAAUAUGGGAUGCCUCGCACAUAAUUUGCAAGUUAUGUUCAUGUGGGAAAUGAAUUCUUCAUGAUAUUUCAGUGGAAAGAGAAGACAACUGUUAUCACUGUUGGCAUGUCUUGGUCCAACAUAUGUCCUUCCUAACCAAAAAACCUGGAACAUGAUGUGAUGGGCCCCAACUUUUUGCUGGCGUAGAUCCAUUUCCAUGUGGUGCAUCAAGUGACAUGCCAGUGAAUUUUAAUUACCAAGUGUGAGAAGGAUUGGUUCACAUACAUAAUGGCAUUAAUAGUGCAGAGUUAGACUUGGAAACAGAUGCUGCGACGCCCAUGUAGCGAGCGGGACGAUCUGCAGUUUAAUAGUAAUGCUUGGCUUCCCUAGACAGUGCCGAUAGUUGAGCAGGAAGGGACCAUGGAAUUUUACCUGUGUCUAGGCUUUAAAUCAUGUGAUGGUGCUAGAAAGCAAAGGAGAGUGGAGUACCAUCUUGACCCCGGCAACAGCAGUGCCCUACAUCACUACAGAACCUAGUGUGCAAUUUGGACACGAGUACUACCAAUUCUUUGGAUCUGCAGAACUUUUCACAUGGAUUAUUAAUUACCUGCCAGCUGUGAAGCAACAAUACCUUUUGUGAUGGUAACAACUAGUCCAGGGGAUCUAUUCUAAUGCCUUCUGUUGAGUUUCAUUAAGUAAGUUUUUUUCUAAAAUGGCAACAUUUUUUUCCUUCACCAGUUAAUGCAUAUUUGUUUAAUCAAUAAACACACAAAACUAGCGCAUCGUUCCUACUGGAUCUCUUGUAUACCACAUAUAAAUGACAUUUAUCCCGGCUGUAGAGAGCCCUAGGCUCCCUUCUCCCUCUCUUUCUGUGCUUCUUUAUUGAUUGGCCGACACAAAAAAGGAAAAGACUUGAACACUGACUCACUUAUCAUGAAAAAAAUCACCUUCAUACUAUCAGUGGACUAAGACAUGGCUGAUUAAUGGGGAUUAAUGUUCAUAAUAAAAUGUUUUUAAUAAAAUCAUGUAAAACCAAUUUACAUGCAACCCUAUGAACCCUCACAUGUCAGUGUUUCUUUUAAGAAAAAAAAAAUCCAGAAAGAUCAGUUUAUGCACAUAGCAGCGCUUGUGCUUAAGAAUUGUAAAACGGUGAUGAGUGCCCAUAUAUGUAAAAUGAUCUUAAGUCCCAAACACAUUUUGUCCCGUUUCAUUGAAAGGGUGCGGCCACUUUCACAGGAAAGUACCAUGGUAUUUUACCUUGUUUAUAGCCUUUUGGCAUGUGAUAUAAUGAUGUUGCUGGAAAGCAUGUGCACUGGAGUACCAUCUUGCACAAACCAGCAUCAGCAUGUGAUAUAUUUGUCUGGACUUUGGACCACUUAUUCUUUGAUAUGGAAGAGGAUUCUUCAGAUGGUUUAGUCACCUUUGUGAGCUUUCAAGGCAACUACUGUCCUAUUAAUACAACUACUCUUUUGGGUAUGUCGAUUCCUGCGCAGCUACGUUCUUUGAUGAUUUAAUUUCCUUAAAAAAAUGAACAUAUAUGCUGUUACCAAUACUUAAUUUAACACUUUUUGUUUGUUGCAGACAGCUUAACGUCUUCUGUUCACUAGCUAUGAUGCAAUUUAUCAAAUUAUCCAGCUGCAGGCUUGCAGCAAACAAAGAAGGACAUAAUUCAGAUUUAUCUUUUAUCAAUAUAAGGCAUUUUCUUUUGGUCACACAACAUGCAAAAAUUGGCAAUUUUUUUCGCUUCCUUCUAGCUGAAUCUAAUCGAUGUCUAUUCAUAAAUAACAUUUAGUUGUUAAUCCCAUGUCAGGAAGGGCCCUUCCUCUUUUCUGCCUUUCUAUUGGUGUUUCGUUAUUUGAUUGACCCGUAAAGAGAAGAUAGACUCAAAACCUUUCCAUCUAUACCUCAUGUUUGGCAGUUUUAUACACGCCAACUUCAUGCGAAAAUAACCUUUUAUUAUACUGUCAGAGUUCAGGGUCACAUGUGAUUUAGACUUGGCUGACUAAUUGGCCUUAGACAUUGUAGAUGUUUCAUGAUUUAUCAUGGUACCUAGAGAUUUGGUUCCACACAAAAACUGGGGGUUAGAUGAGAUGUGUCGGCAGUGACUUGCACUGCUGCAACAUGAAAAUAUCGUGCUGAUAUCUUCUGGAUGGAAAGAAAAUGCCGUGUCCAGUUUGCUUAGCAGGAUUGGGAGAUGCUGGAAUCAUUUAGUAGCAGAAUCACAUUAUACAGUGAAACGGACAUGCUAUUUCGUCAAGUCAAUUUUGCUGUUCUCAUGUGCAGCACGUGAACUACUAUGAACUGUGUGUCUAUGUGUGCAUGACUGGGGCAGGCACCAAAGUCUUCUCAAGAGGUGACAUCAGGGAUAGAAGUACAAGGCUUGCCUAUAACAUCUGAAAGACACAGUACAAGGAUAGUUUCCACAUGGGGUUGAGACUGGAAGACCUGCCUAAUUGUAGGUAUUGGAAUCUAACCUGUUUCAGAUCUCAAAGUUCAAUUUGUAUCCAGCUCAGUGUGUGUUGAUUUUGUUCAUAAGUCCUGCUCAUUGUGCCCAUCUACAUCGCAUAGCGCGCCUGAAAAUUUGGAUGCUACGUGUGCAACAAGGACACAGGAGAUUGAAAUACUGUUCCAGAAUUGAGGCUUGCUUAUCCAUGCCACGGCCUACAGGUUUAAAUCUUUCUUGUGCAUAUGUUCUCGAAAAAUACUUUUCUUGUGCAUAAACCGUAAAUUGCUAAGUAAUACUACUACGUUAUGGUUCAUCGCCUGGC